RNAcentral lists this ribosomal RNA (496 nucleotides) under uncultured bacterium. RNAcentral's name for it is "partial 16S ribosomal RNA". It matches the Rfam family "Bacterial small subunit ribosomal RNA", at positions 29 to 507 of the family's 1533-position model. The record is from RNAcentral.
AUGAACGCUGGCGGCGUGCCUAAUACAUGCAAGUCGAGCGAACAGACGAGGAGCUUGCUCCUCUGACGUUAGCGGCGGACGGGUGAGUAACACGUGGAUAACCUACCUAUAAGACUGGGAUAACUUCGGGAAACCGGAGCUAAUACCGGAUAAUAUAUUGAACCGCAUGGUUCAAUAGUGAAAGACGGUUUUGCUGUCACUUAUAGAUGGAUCCGCGCCGCAUUAGCUAGUUGGUAAGGUAACGGCUUACCAAGGUAACGAUGCGUAGCCGACCUGAGAGGGUGAUCGGCCACACUGGAACUGAGACACGGUCCAGACUCCUACGGGAGGCAGCAGUAGGGAAUCUUCCGCAAUGGGCGAAAGCCUGACGGAGCAACGCCGCGUGAGUGAUGAAGGUCUUCGGAUCGUAAAACUCUGUUAUUAGGGAAGAACAAAUGUGUAAGUAACUAUGCACGUCUUGACGGUACCUAAUCAGAAAGCCACGGCUAACUACGUG